RNAcentral lists this ribosomal RNA (1554 nucleotides) under Staphylococcus aureus. Its description in RNAcentral is "16S ribosomal RNA". It matches the Rfam family "Bacterial small subunit ribosomal RNA". The record is from RNAcentral. Lineage: Bacteria; Bacillati; Bacillota; Bacilli; Caryophanales; Staphylococcaceae.
UUUAUGGAGAGUUUGAUCCUGGCUCAGGAUGAACGCUGGCGGCGUGCCUAAUACAUGCAAGUCGAGCGAACGGACGAGAAGCUUGCUUCUCUGAUGUUAGCGGCGGACGGGUGAGUAACACGUGGAUAACCUACCUAUAAGACUGGGAUAACUUCGGGAAACCGGAGCUAAUACCGGAUAAUAUUUCGAACCGCAUGGUUCAAAAGUGAAAGACGGUCUUGCUGUCACUUAUAGAUGGAUCCGCGCUGCAUUAGCUAGUUGGUAAGGUAACGGCUUACCAAGGCAACGAUGCAUAGCCGACCUGAGAGGGUGAUCGGCCACACUGGAACUGAGACACGGUCCAGACUCCUACGGGAGGCAGCAGUAGGGAAUCUUCCGCAAUGGGCGAAAGCCUGACGGAGCAACGCCGCGUGAGUGAUGAAGGUCUUCGGAUCGUAAAACUCUGUUAUUAGGGAAGAACAUAUGUGUAAGUAACUGUGCACAUCUUGACGGUACCUAAUCAGAAAGCCACGGCUAACUACGUGCCAGCAGCCGCGGUAAUACGUAGGUGGCAAGCGUUAUCCGGAAUUAUUGGGCGUAAAGCGCGCGUAGGCGGUUUUUUAAGUCUGAUGUGAAAGCCCACGGCUCAACCGUGGAGGGUCAUUGGAAACUGGAAAACUUGAGUGCAGAAGAGGAAAGUGGAAUUCCAUGUGUAGCGGUGAAAUGCGCAGAGAUAUGGAGGAACACCAGUGGCGAAGGCGACUUUCUGGUCUGUAACUGACGCUGAUGUGCGAAAGCGUGGGGAUCAAACAGGAUUAGAUACCCUGGUAGUCCACGCCGUAAACGAUGAGUGCUAAGUGUUAGGGGGUUUCCGCCCCUUAGUGCUGCAGCUAACGCAUUAAGCACUCCGCCUGGGGAGUACGACCGCAAGGUUGAAACUCAAAGGAAUUGACGGGGACCCGCACAAGCGGUGGAGCAUGUGGUUUAAUUCGAAGCAACGCGAAGAACCUUACCAAAUCUUGACAUCCUUUGACAACUCUAGAGAUAGAGCCUUCCCCUUCGGGGGACAAAGUGACAGGUGGUGCAUGGUUGUCGUCAGCUCGUGUCGUGAGAUGUUGGGUUAAGUCCCGCAACGAGCGCAACCCUUAAGCUUAGUUGCCAUCAUUAAGUUGGGCACUCUAAGUUGACUGCCGGUGACAAACCGGAGGAAGGUGGGGAUGACGUCAAAUCAUCAUGCCCCUUAUGAUUUGGGCUACACACGUGCUACAAUGGACAAUACAAAGGGCAGCGAAACCGCGAGGUCAAGCAAAUCCCAUAAAGUUGUUCUCAGUUCGGAUUGUAGUCUGCAACUCGACUACAUGAAGCUGGAAUCGCUAGUAAUCGUAGAUCAGCAUGCUACGGUGAAUACGUUCCCGGGUCUUGUACACACCGCCCGUCACACCACGAGAGUUUGUAACACCCGAAGCCGGUGGAGUAACCUUUUAGGAGCUAGCCGUCGAAGGUGGGACAAAUGAUUGGGGUGAAGUCGUAACAAGGUAGCCGUAUCGGAAGGUGCGGCUGGAUCACCUCCUUUCU